This 390-nucleotide ribosomal RNA is filed under the name Kocuria rhizophila. RNAcentral's name for it is "bacterial SSU rRNA". It matches the Rfam family "Bacterial small subunit ribosomal RNA", at positions 110 to 512 of the family's 1533-position model. The record is from RNAcentral. Lineage: Bacteria; Bacillati; Actinomycetota; Actinomycetes; Micrococcales; Micrococcaceae.
GUAAUACGUGAGUAACCUGCCCUUGACUCUGGGAUAAGCCUGGGAAACUGGGUCUAAUACUGGAUACGACAUGUCACCGCAUGGUGGUGUGUGGAAAGGGUUUUACUGGUUUUGGAUGGGCUCACGGCCUAUCAGCUUGUUGGUGGGGUAAUGGCUCACCAAGGCGACGACGGGUAGCCGGCCUGAGAGGGUGACCGGCCACACUGGGACUGAGACACGGCCCAGACUCCUACGGGAGGCAGCAGUGGGGAAUAUUGCACAAUGGGCGGAAGCCUGAUGCAGCGACGCCGCGUGAGGGAUGACGGCCUUCGGGUUGUAAACCUCUUUCAGCACGGAAGAAGCGAAAGUGACGGUACGUGCAGAAGAAGCGCCGGCUAACUACGUGCCAGC